GAUGAAGAACGUAGCGAAAUGCGAUAAGUAAUGCGAAUUGCAGAAUUUCCGUGAGUCAUCGAAUCUUUGAACGUACAUUGCGCGCACUGGUUUUCCGGUGGGCAUGCCUGUUCGAGCGUCAUUAUCCUCCCUCAAACCCCGGGUUUGGUGUUGGACCCAAGUUGUGUGAACAACUGGUCUUAAAGACAAUGACGGCGUCCGUGGGACCCUCGGUGCAACGAGCUUUUAGGAGCACGCAUCGAGUUGCAAGGACCUUCCGGGCCGGUCUCCUUUACUAUUUUACAAGGUUGACCUCGGAUCAGGUAGGAAUACCCGCUGAACUUAAGCAUAUCAAUAAGCGGAGGA
RNAcentral lists this unclassified non-coding RNA (345 nucleotides) under soil metagenome. Its description in RNAcentral is "partial contains 5.8S ribosomal RNA, internal transcribed spacer 2, and large subunit ribosomal RNA". The stretch from base 1 to 121 matches the Rfam family "5.8S ribosomal RNA", at positions 35 to 154 of the family's 154-position model. The record is from RNAcentral.